UUACAUUUGAGUGAGUGGCGAACUGGUGAGUAACACGUGGGAAACCUGCCCAGAAGCGGGGGAUAACACCUGGAAACAGAUGCUAAUACCGCAUAACAACUUGGACCGCAUGGUCCAGUUUGAAAGAUGGCUUCGGCUAUCACUUUUGGAUGGUCCCGCGGCGUAUUAGCUAGAUGGUGGUAACGGCUCACCAUGGCAAUGAUACGUAGCCGACCUGAGAGGGUAAUCGGCCACAUUGGGACUGAGACACGGCCCAAACUCCUACGGGAGGCAGCAGUAGGGAAUCUUCCACAAUGGACGAAAGUCUGAUGGAGCAACGCCGCGUGAGUGAAGAAGGGUUUCGGCUCGUAAAACUCUGUUGUUAAAGA
RNAcentral lists this ribosomal RNA (368 nucleotides) under Lactiplantibacillus plantarum. RNAcentral's name for it is "bacterial SSU rRNA". It matches the Rfam family "Bacterial small subunit ribosomal RNA", at positions 80 to 445 of the family's 1533-position model. Lineage: Bacteria; Bacillati; Bacillota; Bacilli; Lactobacillales; Lactobacillaceae. The record is from RNAcentral.